GAGGGUGUAGCUCAGUGGUAGAGUACAUGCUUAGCAUGCACAAGGUCCUGGGCUCAAUCCCCAGUACCUCCA
RNAcentral lists this transfer RNA (72 nucleotides) under Camelus bactrianus (Bactrian camel). It matches the Rfam family "tRNA". Rfam says of the family: Transfer RNA (tRNA) molecules are approximately 80 nucleotides in length. Their secondary structure includes four short double-helical elements and three loops (D, anti-codon, and T loops). Lineage: Eukaryota; Metazoa; Chordata; Mammalia; Artiodactyla; Camelidae. The record is from Rfam by way of RNAcentral. RNAcentral also lists the same sequence under 2 other names.